Molecule: unclassified non-coding RNA, 200 nt
Filed under: soil metagenome
Description: partial contains internal transcribed spacer 2 and large subunit ribosomal RNA
Source: RNAcentral
GAUUAUGGCUGUUGCGGCGUAACUGUCGACUCGGCUGAAAUAUACGAGUUACCCAUUUCUAAGAAAUAGACGGUUUGACUCGGCGUAAUAAUAUAUUUCGCUGAGAACGUCACAUUCUUAAUCAUUAGUGGUGCUUCUAAUGCGACAUCUAAAUUUAAGCUUUAGACCUCAAAUCAGUCAGGACUACCCGCUGAACUUAA